UACGUAGGGGGCAAGCGUUAUCCGGAAUCACUGGGUGUAAAGGGUGCGUAGGCGGUAUAUUAAGUAAGGUGUGAAAGCCCGUGGCUCAACCACGGGAUUGCACUUUAGACUGGUAAACUAGAGUACAGGAGAGGUAAGCGGAAUUCCUAGUGUAGCGGUGAAAUGCGUAGAUAUUAGGAAGAACACCAGUGGCGAAGGCGGCUUACUGGACUGAAACUGACGCUGAGGCACGAAAGCGUGGGGAGCGAACAGG
RNAcentral lists this ribosomal RNA (253 nucleotides) under uncultured bacterium. Its description in RNAcentral is "partial 16S ribosomal RNA". It matches the Rfam family "Bacterial small subunit ribosomal RNA", at positions 524 to 776 of the family's 1533-position model. The record is from RNAcentral.